This 207-nucleotide ribosomal RNA is filed under the name uncultured bacterium. RNAcentral's name for it is "partial 16S ribosomal RNA". It matches the Rfam family "Bacterial small subunit ribosomal RNA", at positions 568 to 774 of the family's 1533-position model. The record is from RNAcentral.
CGCGUAGGUGGUUUGAUCAGUCGGAUGUGAAAGCCCAGGGCUCAACCUUGGAAUUGCAUUCGAUACUGUCUGACUAGAGUAUGGUAGAGGGAAGUGGAAUUUCCAGUGUAGCGGUGAAAUGCGUAGAUAUCGGAAAGAACAUCAGUGGCGAAGGCGACUUCCUGGACCAAUACUGACACUGAGGUGCGAAAGCGUGGGGAGCAAACA